This 119-nucleotide ribosomal RNA is filed under the name Brassica oleracea var. oleracea. Lineage: Eukaryota; Viridiplantae; Streptophyta; Magnoliopsida; Brassicales; Brassicaceae. The record is from RNAcentral.
GGGUGCGAUCAUACCAGCACUAAUGCACUGGAUCCCAUCAGAACUCCGCAGUUAAGCGUGCUUGGGCGAGAGUAGUACUAGGACGGGUGACCUCCCGGUAAGUCCUCGUGUUGCACGCC